This 429-nucleotide ribosomal RNA is filed under the name Gemmatimonadota bacterium. Its description in RNAcentral is "Gemmatimonadetes bacterium partial 16S ribosomal RNA". It matches the Rfam family "Bacterial small subunit ribosomal RNA", at positions 355 to 776 of the family's 1533-position model. The record is from RNAcentral. Lineage: Bacteria; Pseudomonadati; Gemmatimonadota.
UAGGGAAUCUUCGGCAAUGGACGAAAGUCUGACCGAGCAACGCCGCGUGAGUGAAGAAGGUUUUCGGAUCGUAAAACUCUGUUGUUAGAGAAGAACAAGGACGUUAGUAACUGAACGUCCCCUGACGGUAUCUAACCAGAAAGCCACGGCUAACUACGUGCCAGCAGCCGCGGUAAUACGUAGGUGGCAAGCGUUGUCCGGAUUUAUUGGGCGUAAAGCGAGCGCAGGCGGUUUCUUAAGUCUGAUGUGAAAGCCCCCGGCUCAACCGGGGAGGGUCAUUGGAAGCUGGGAGACUUGAGUGGAGAAGAGGAGAGUGGAAUUCCAUGUGUAGCGGUGAAAUGCGUAGAUAUAUGGAGGAACACCAGUGGCGAAGGCGGCUCUCUGGUCUGUAACUGACGCUGAGGCUCGAAAGCGUGGGGAGCAAACAGG